AUUUGGGGCCCUCAUGCAGAGCCCUUUGUGCCUUAUUCUCCAGCAAUGGAACUUCGGCAUCUAGAGAUUUCAAGAUUACAUUUGGGAGGCAAGUCCCUAGGACUUGAGACAAGCUGCAGCAUUCACCUGCAAGUGCGGCUCGCAAAUCAACAGACUUUGGAGCCAUUGGUAAAGGCUACUUCCAGUUAGAAAGUGAGAAGAUAUAAGCAGCAUGUGCUGUAGACUAAGGUAGUAUCUUCGAGUUCUGCCAUUGGCACCUAUCAGUGGCUGAGAUAUCCUGGGUUGAAUUCUGCAAGGUCCAGCAUAGUGUAUUAUGCAUGAAAAGACAUCUCCUGUUACUUCAUUUUUGUAAAAGAUUACCUCAAUACUC
RNAcentral lists this long non-coding RNA (370 nucleotides) under Pongo abelii (Sumatran orangutan). RNAcentral describes it as "lincRNA". The record is from RNAcentral. Lineage: Eukaryota; Metazoa; Chordata; Mammalia; Primates; Hominidae.